RNAcentral lists this long non-coding RNA (281 nucleotides) under Mytilus galloprovincialis (Mediterranean mussel). Lineage: Eukaryota; Metazoa; Mollusca; Bivalvia; Mytilida; Mytilidae. The record is from RNAcentral.
GGUUGGCAUCAAUAUCAUGCAAAUUGAUUGAAAAAACUACUUGGUAUUUUUUAAAAACUAUUUUAAAAACAAGAAUGUGUCCCCAGUACACGGAUGCCCCAUCCGCACUUUCAUUUUCUAUGUUCAGUGGACCGUGAAAAUAGGGCAAAAUCUCUAAUUUAACAUUUAAAUUAGAAAGAGCAUAUCAUAGGGAACAUGUGUACUUCAAGUUGAUUGGACUUCAACUUCAUCAAAAACUACCUCGACCAAAAACUUUAAGCAAAACUUUAACCUGAAGCGGG